This 231-nucleotide unclassified non-coding RNA is filed under the name uncultured fungus. Its description in RNAcentral is "sequence contains ITS1". The record is from RNAcentral. Lineage: Eukaryota; Fungi.
CUGAUUCAGGGGGAGAGCGUGCGUGCGUGCGCGCCGCGCCACCCCAACCAAUCUUUUGUGCACGGUUUCACGGUCAACGAGAGACGCCGCGCGUGUGUUGGCAAGUCAAGUCGUCCCCGAUGGGGGUGACGGCGGCGCUUGCCAACCGCAUGCGUCUGUGCGCGCGCUCUCUGUUUGCAAUCUCUUGUGCAAUCUCUGUCUAACACACGUUACCUCUAAAAUAUAUCAACA